Molecule: ribosomal RNA, 459 nt
Filed under: uncultured bacterium
Lineage: Bacteria
Description: partial 16S ribosomal RNA
Rfam family: Bacterial small subunit ribosomal RNA
Source: RNAcentral
CCUACGGGAGGCAGCAGUGAGGAAUAUUGGUCAAUGGGCGCGAGCCUGAACCAGCCAAGUCGCGUGAGGGAAGACGGUCCUAUGGAUUGUAAACCUCUUUUGUCGGGGAGCAAAAGACGCCCUGCGUGUGGUUCCGAGACUACCCGAAGAAAAAGCAUCGGCUAACUCCGUGCCAGCAGCCGCGGUAAUACGGAGGAUGCGUGCGUUAUCGGGGUUUAUUGGGGUAAAAGGGUGCGAAGGCGGAAGAUCAAGUCAGCGGUAAAAUUACGGGGCGGAACCUCUUCGAGCCGUUGAAACUGGUUUUCUUGAGUGAGCGAGAAGUAUGCGGAAUGCGUGGUGUAGCGGUGAAAUGCAUAGAUAUCACGCAGAACUCCGAUUGCGAAGGCAGCAUACCGGCGCUCAACUGACGCUGAUGCACGAAAGUGUGGGUAUCGAACAGGAUUAGAUACCCGUGUAGUC